Small nuclear RNA from Monodelphis domestica (gray short-tailed opossum), 102 nucleotides. Lineage: Eukaryota; Metazoa; Chordata; Mammalia; Didelphimorphia; Didelphidae. The record is from Ensembl.
AUGCAAAUUCACGAAGCGUUCCAUAUUUUUAAAAAUUGGAACAAUACAGAGAAGAUUAGUAUAGUCCUUACAAAAGGAUUUAGAUAUACACUUGUCAUUAUA